UACGGGGGGGGCAAGCGUUGUUCGGAAUUACUGGGCGUAAAGGGCUCGUAGGUGGCCAACUAAGUCAGACGUGAAAUCCCUCGGCUUAACCGGGGAACUGCGUCUGAUACUGGAUGGCUUGAGGUUGGGAGAGGGAUGCGGAAUUCCAGGUGUAGCGGUGAAAUGCGUAGAUAUCUGGAAGAACACCGGUGGCGAAGGCGGCAUCCUGGACCAAUUCUGACGCUGAGUGAGCGAAAGCCAGGGGAGCAAACGGG
Molecule: ribosomal RNA, 254 nt
Filed under: uncultured bacterium
Lineage: Bacteria
Description: partial 16S ribosomal RNA
Rfam family: Bacterial small subunit ribosomal RNA
Source: RNAcentral